UGAGGAAUCUUCCACAAUGGGCGAAAGCCUGAUGGAGCAACGCCGCGUGCAGGAUGAAGGCCCUCGGGUCGUAAACUGCUUUUAUAAGUGAAGAAUAUGACGGUAACUUAUGAAUAAGCACCGGCUAACUACGUGCCAGCAGCCGCGGUCAUACGUAGGGUGCAAGCAUUAUCCGGAGUGACUGGGCGUAAAGAGUUGCGUAGGUGGUUCGUAAAGUGAAUAGUGAAGUCUGGUGGCUCAACCAUACAGG
Molecule: ribosomal RNA, 250 nt
Filed under: uncultured bacterium
Lineage: Bacteria
Description: partial 16S ribosomal RNA
Rfam family: Bacterial small subunit ribosomal RNA
Source: RNAcentral